AUGGCAGGGCCUACGCCGACGUACUCCGCCGUCGUGGCGCACGCCUCGGCGUUCCUCGCGGAGCUCAUCGCCGACCCGCUCCUCCGGCGCCACCUCCUCUCCGCCGCAGCCGCCGCGGACGGCAGCGGGGGGCAGCACACGGCCGCGACGCUCCAGGCGCUGUCGCUCAUAUCGGACGCGCUAGACACGGUACCGUCCGCCUCGCCGUCGCCGUCGUCGCUCCGCGCCGCCGAGCGGCUGCUGCUGUCCCUCCCCGCGGCCACCCCGCUCUCCUGCCUCCUCUCCGCUAUCGCGUCGGCAGCGCGACGACGCGGCGGGGCGCCUUCCGCUGCGUCCGCCGUGCUCGACCUCUUCGUCCUCGACCCCGCGCUCGCGCGCCACGAGCUCGCGCCCGCGGCAUUCGAGGCGCUCUUCGCGCCGCGCCUCCUCGCCGUCAUGCGGCACUUCGCCACGCGCCGCGCGUCGGCCGUCGCCGCCGUGGCUUCCGCGGCGCAGGGCGACGAGGAAAGAUCCGACGAGACAGUGGCGCUGUCGGCGAUGAGGGUGCUGUCGCUGAUGAGCGGCGCCCAGGCGCACGAGAUGAGGGGCCUGGAGCGCGAGUACGAGAUGGUGCUGGACGUGAACUGCAAGGCCUACGCGCUCUACCUAAAGAAGAUCCUCGAAGCCGGCGAGGCGCCACGGAUGACGCCGCCGCCUCCUCCCCCAGAGCUUGUAUUCACCACCGGACAGCACGCCGACGAGUACGAGAACACCGGCUACGAGGAAGCCUCGACGGACGCCGACGAUGGGGCCGUCAGUUCGCAGAAUGGCGUACGGAAUAAUCCGAUGUGGGCGGAGGCGGAGGGCGACAUGUACCCGCGGCAGGGCAGCAUCAAGGGCCGGAGGGAAAUGAUGAGGCCGCCGAGCCUGUACCCGCAGCGCGUGGCUCCGCACCUCAUAGUGCAGCAGCAGAAGAAGCAGCCGCCGCAGGUCGGCAGAGGAAGCCCGGCGUCCAGACUCCGGGCCGGGUACUCUCCUGCCACGGCUUCCGACGAAAGCACGGAGGAUUCUUCAUCCGAGAUCUACACCGGAAAACAGGAAAAGCCUGCGUCGUCCCCACUGUCCAAGCCACGCAGAGCUCAGCCACGCGCCGACGACGGCGCCCGCCCCUCUCCGGAGCCCUCGAGGUCCCCGAUGGGCGGCGACGCCGAGCUGUCGCGGCACCAGCAGCAGGCGGCGACGACGCCCAAGGACUUCGUGUGCCCGAUCACGAGCCAGGUCUUCGACGACCCCGUCACGCUCGAGACCGGCCAGACGUACGAGCGCCGCGCCAUACAGGAGUGGCUCGACCGCGGCAACGCCACCUGCCCCAUCACGCGCCAGCACCUCCACGGCGGCAGCCUCCCCAAGACCAACUACGUCCUCAAGCGCCUCAUCGCCGGCUGGCGCGAGCAGAGCCCGCCCGCCACGCCGAUCACGCCCCCCACGCCCGCCACGCCCGCGGUGCCGAGAACGCCCGCGACCGCGAGGAUGGAAAGCCCGGCCCCCGCGUUCAAGAUCAACUCGCCGUCCCCGGACGCCACCGGCAGCCAGGCGAGCGCGCCGUCGCCGACCAGCGUCAUCGUGCAGGCCACGGUGGAGAGCGCCGUCGGCGAGCUCCGCGCCGCGGCGUCCUGCCUCUGCACGUCCGAGGAGCUGGCCGAGUCGGAGAAGUCGGUCCUCAGGAUCGAGCGGCUCUGGCGCGAGGCCGGCGCCGCCGAGCAGGCCUUCUUCUCCGCGCUGGCCAAGCCCGCCGUCAUCAACGGCUUCGUGGAGAUCCUCUUCAACUCCGUCAGCGCGCAGGUGCUGCAGGUGGCCGUCUUCCUCCUCGCCGAGCUCGCCUCCCGCGACGACGGCGUCGUGCAGACGCUCACGCGGGUGGACACCGACGUGGACUGCCUGGUCGCGCUGUUCAAGAAAGGGCUCGUCGAGGCCGUCGUGCUCAUCUUCCUCCUGUCUCCUUCCGUGGAGCAGCUCGUUGAGAUGGACAUGGGCGAAGCGCUGGUGGCAACCAUCCGGCGAGCCGAUGAGGCAGACGCGCUCAACAUGUGCGUCAAGCCCAAGUCCGCGUCAGUGAUCCUCCUGAGCCAGAUUCUCACAGAAUCAGGCGUCAGCCGGGAGAGCACGCCGCCGGUGCCGAGGUCCUCUCUGGUGUCUGAGAGGUUCGUUAGGAGCACGGCGCUGGUCUUGGAGGCCGAGCAGGUGGAGGUAAGGGUGGCCGCAAUGAGGAUCCUGAUGCGAUGCAUCGGGGAAGACGGCCACUGCCGGAGCAGCAUCGUGGAGAAGCUGGCGGUGAACGCCGUCCUAGACGCCUUCCACGUCGUCGGCGACGCCGACAAGUUCGAAAUCGUGCGGUUCCUCUCCGAGCUUCUGAAGCUGAAAAGGCGAUCGGCCGCGGAACGUGUGCUUCGGGCGAUCAAAGAGGGGAGCUCCUUCAGCAUGAUGCACACGCUCCUCGUGUAUCUGCAGUCCACGACGCCGGAGCAGAGCCCCGUCGUUGCCGGACUUCUUCUUCAGCUCGAUCUCUUGGUGGAGCCGAGGAAGAUAAGCAUGUACCGCGAGGAGGCGAUGGACAGCCUCGUGCAGUGCCUCAAGAACUCGGAUUUCCCGAGGAGCCAGCUCCUCGCCGCCGAGACCAUCAUGAACUUCCCCGGAAAGUUCUCGUCGUCGGGGCGGCCGCUCGCCCGGUCGGCCCUGCUGAAGCUCGCCAGGGUGAAGGAGAGGUACCGGCAGUCGCAGGAGCUGAGCGUCGUUCGUGGCACCGACGGCGCCGAGGACGACGCCGCCGGGGAGGAGAAGGCGGCGUCGGAGUGGGAGAGGAAGACGGCCUACGCGCUGGUGAGCCACGAGUUCGGGCUGGUGCUGGAGGCCCUGUCCGAGUGCCUGGAGAGCAAGAACGCGGAGCUGUUCGCGGCGAGCCUCGUGUGCGCGGCAUGGCUCGUCCACAUGCUCUCCCUCCUCCCGGACACCGGCGUGCUCGGCGCCGCGCGUGUCUGCCUGCUCCGGCAGCUUGUGCUCGUCCUCAGGUCCGCCAAGCACGGCAGCGACCGCGCCCUCGCCAUGGUGGCGCUGAGGAGCUUCAUGAACGACCGCGAGGGAAUGCAAGACAUCACGACGUACAUCAAGGACGUGCUGAGAACACUGAGGGAGCUCAAGAAAUCGUCCGGCCUAGCGUUCGAGAUGCUGAAGCUACUGUCAGAUGGUCAGGAGUCUAGCAUCGACAUGUGGAACCACAAGGAGCUGAACAACGCCGACUGCAGCUCGAACGGCGAGGUCACGUCGAUCGUUUACUACAAGAGCUACAUCUUCUCCGGGCACUCUGAUGGAACACUAAAGGUCUGGGAGGGAAGCGAGAACAUCCUUCGGCUCGUCCAGGAAUCCCAGGAGCACGCGAAAGCCAUCACCAGCUUGUCAAUCCUGCCUUCGGAGGAGAAGCUGUACAGCGGAUCCAUGGACAGAACUAUCAGGGUUUGGCAGUUCCGGGACGGCCUCCGGUGCGCGGAGGUGUACGACACGAGGGACCCCGUGCAGAACCUGGCGGUGGCGAGCGCCAUGGCCUGCUUCGUGCCGCAGGGCGCUGGCGUGAAGACGCUGAGCUGGAACGGCGGCACCCCCAAGGUGCUGAACCCGAGCAAGUCCGUGCGGUCCAUGGCGCUGGUGCACGGCAAGCUCUUCUGCGGCUGCAACGACGGCAGCAUCCAGGAGAUCGACCUGGCCAGCGGCACGCUGGGCGUCAUCCAGCCCGGGAACAAGAGGAUCCUCGGCAAGUCCAACCCGGUCUACUCCCUGCAGGUCCACGACGGGCUGCUCUACACCGGGAGCACCCCUCUCGACGGCGCGUCCGUCAAGAUAUGGAACAGCUCGAACUACAACCUGGUUGGGUCGAUACCGUCGGCGGCGGAGGUGCGGUCACUGGUGGUGAGCGCGGACCUGGUGUACCUGGGCUCAAGGAACGGCGCCGUGGAGAUCUGGUCCAGGGAGAAGCUCAUCAAGAUCGGCGCUCUUCAGGCCGGCGGCGCCGGCUGCCGGGUCCAGUGCAUGGCGGUGGACGCCGACGGGGACGUCCUCGUCGUCGGAACGUCUGACGGCAAAAUUCAGGCUUGGGGAUUGACUUGA
RNAcentral lists this ribosomal RNA (4134 nucleotides) under Triticum aestivum (bread wheat). Its description in RNAcentral is "partial small subunit ribosomal RNA". Lineage: Eukaryota; Viridiplantae; Streptophyta; Magnoliopsida; Poales; Poaceae. The record is from RNAcentral.